AUGUCCGAGUGGUUAAGGAGACAGACUAGAACUUGACUCUUGAUCAUCUGUUACGCUUUGCGUGCGCAGGUUCAAAUCCUGCUG
Molecule: non-coding RNA, 84 nt
Organism: Rhodotorula taiwanensis
Lineage: Eukaryota; Fungi; Basidiomycota; Microbotryomycetes; Sporidiobolales; Sporidiobolaceae
Source: the annotation of a GenBank genome assembly